GGAGGAACCAUGGGAUCGCAAGACCUUGCGCUCAUUGAGCGGCCGAUGCCUGAUUAGCUAGUUGGUGAGGUAAAGGCUUACCAAGGCGACGAUCAGUAGCUGGUCUGAGAGGACGACCAGCCACACUGGGACUGAGACACGGCCCAGACUCCUACGGGAGGCAGCAGUGGGGAAUUUUGGACAAUGGGGGAAACCCUGAUCCAGCCAUGCCGCGUGAGUGAAGAAGGCCUUCGGGUUGUAAAGCUCUUUCAGCCGGAACGAAACGGUCACGGCUAAUACCUGUGACUACUGACGGUACCGGAAGAAGAAGCACCGGCUAACUACGUGCCAGCAGCCGCGGUAAUACGUAGGGUGCGAGCGUUAAUCGGAAUUACUGGGCGUAAAGCGUGCGCAGGCGGUUUUGUAAGUCAGAUGUGAAAUCCCCGGGCUUAACCUGGGAACUGCGUUUGAAACUACAAGGCUAGAAGGG
Molecule: ribosomal RNA, 469 nt
Filed under: uncultured beta proteobacterium
Lineage: Bacteria; Pseudomonadati; Pseudomonadota; Betaproteobacteria
Description: bacterial SSU rRNA
Rfam family: Bacterial small subunit ribosomal RNA
Source: RNAcentral